This 400-nucleotide unclassified non-coding RNA is filed under the name uncultured Hypocreales. RNAcentral's name for it is "sequence contains ITS1". The stretch from base 1 to 105 matches the Rfam family "5.8S ribosomal RNA", at positions 50 to 154 of the family's 154-position model. Lineage: Eukaryota; Fungi; Ascomycota; Sordariomycetes; Hypocreales. The record is from RNAcentral.
GAAAUGCGAUAAGUAAUGUGAAUUGCAGAAUUCAGUGAAUCAUCGAAUCUUUGAACGCACAUUGCGCCCGCCAGUAUUCUGGCGGGCAUGCCUGUUCGAGCGUCAUUUCAACCCUCAGGGCCCCCCCCCCUCGCGGGGUGCGCGCCCUGGUGUUGGGGACCGGCAUCCGCGGCGGAAGGUUGAGGGGGAAGAGAGAGAGGGGGUGGGAGGCGUCACUGCCCUCUGGCCCUCCUCCCCUCUCUUCCCUCCCCCAACCCCCGUCGCGCCGCCCCCGAAAUGGAUUGGCGGUCUCGUCGCGACCUCCUCUGCGUAGUAGCACAACCUCGCAACGGGAGCGCGGCGCGGCCACUGCCGUAAAACGCAACACAACUUCUCAAGAGUUGACCUCGAAUCAGGUAGG